UAUGGGGCAAGCGUUAUCCGGAUUUACUGGGUGUAAAGGGAGCGUAGGCGGCAUGGCAAGUCAGAAGUGAAAGCCUGGGGCUCAACCCCGGAAUUGCUUUUGAAACUGUCAGGCUAGAGUGUCGGAGGGGUAAGCGGAAUUCCUAGUGUAGCGGUGAAAUGCGUAGAUAUUAGGAGGAACACCGGUGGCGAAGGCGGCUUACUGGACGAUUACUGACGCUGAGGCUCGAAAGCGUGGGGAGCAAA
RNAcentral lists this ribosomal RNA (245 nucleotides) under uncultured bacterium. Its description in RNAcentral is "partial 16S ribosomal RNA". It matches the Rfam family "Bacterial small subunit ribosomal RNA", at positions 528 to 772 of the family's 1533-position model. The record is from RNAcentral.